RNAcentral lists this ribosomal RNA (232 nucleotides) under uncultured bacterium. RNAcentral describes it as "partial 16S ribosomal RNA". It matches the Rfam family "Bacterial small subunit ribosomal RNA", at positions 99 to 334 of the family's 1533-position model. The record is from RNAcentral.
CGGACGGGUGAGUAAUACUUAGGAAUCUGCCCAUUAUGGGGGACAACUAGAAGAAAUUCUAGCUAAUACCGCAUACGCCCUACGGGGGAAAGCGGGGGGAUCUUCGGACCUCGCGCUAAUGGAUGAGCCUAAGUCGGAUUAGCUUGUUGGUGAGGUAACGGCUCACCAAGGCGACGAUCCGUAGCUGGUCUGAGAGGACGAUCAGCCACACUGGGACUGAGACACGGCCCAG